Molecule: unclassified non-coding RNA, 206 nt
Filed under: soil metagenome
Description: partial contains 5.8S ribosomal RNA, internal transcribed spacer 2, and large subunit ribosomal RNA
Source: RNAcentral
AACACUGUUAACCUGCGGUACCUGCGGAAGGAUCAUUACCGAGUUUACAACUCCCAAACCCCUGUGAACAUACCUUUAUGUUGCCUCGGCGGAUCAGCCCGCGCCCCGUAAAACGGGACGGCCCGCCGCAGGACCACAAAACUCUGAUUUUAGUGUAACUUCUGAGUCUAAAAAACAAAUAAAUCAAAACUUUUAACAAUGGAUCU